This is a long non-coding RNA of Bacillus rossius redtenbacheri, 915 nucleotides long. RefSeq lists it as uncharacterized. NCBI's taxonomy places the organism in Eukaryota, Metazoa, Arthropoda, Insecta, Phasmatodea, Bacillidae. The transcript is spliced from 3 exons. The record is from RefSeq and is a predicted model, not a curated record.
UUAAAGCAAAGGCAAAUUAAAAUUCUUUAACUACUCUAAUGAAUUAUAUUAUUUCACUUAGGCUUGCAACAUUAGCGAGAAAAAAGAAGAAGCUGGGGUUGACACAGAACCCUCUGCCUGCUGGUGAUGGUCCUGCAACACCAACCUUGCCAGAGAGCCCAGGCGGUGAAAGUUCGGUCCCCACAGUGCCAGAUGUAACCACCAUGGCGUCUUCAGUGGCGGCGUGUACAUCACGCAACACUGAUGACAGUACACAUACUCUGUCCGAUGACUAUCAAGGGAAUGAUGACCUUCCUCCGCUGAUAGUGGUUUACGAGCCUCCAUUGCCACAGACAGAUCCGGGACUCAGUAUGUUAGAGGGUCGAAUGAUGGUUGACGUUCGUCACUUCAUGGUGCAAUGCCGUCUUCUGGAGAGACACAGGUGUCCCAUUUCAUCUUCAGGAACAUAUUUUCUGGAAAGUGUCAACAGGUACGGUCUGCUGACAAAUUUUAAAUUUAAGUGCACUCACUGCAAUCAAGAGCAGCAGUUCAAAUCUGAGCCUGUGGAAUGCCUUCCAGUGGGAAGAAAAAGAAAAUGCAAAAUCGAUACCAACUUAGAUAUCAACGAUAAGAUUGUUUGGGGCGCAAUUUCGGUUGGUCUAGGCUACGGACCAUUGUAUGAACUAUUGUCACUAAUUGAUAUGCAUCCUAUGAGCCCGGGUUGCUUUUCUUAUCACGAGAACAGAAUCGGAGAGCACUGGAAGGCAAUGUUUCAGAAGGAAAUGGAAGAUGCUGCACUGGAAGAGUUCUCUAUGGCGAAAGAUGAUGGACGCAUCUGUAUGGUUGGAAAUGAGGAAUAUGCUUGGACCAUAGGAAUUUUGGAUGGAGGUUGGAGCCAAAGAUCCUAUGGUCAUAGGUAUUCUGCUAAGUCUGGAU